CCUUCGAAUUAACUUUUCACACUAAAUGUUUGCUGAGCACUUUCCAGCGUCAGUUUUCAUCUGAAACUGUUGCAUAAGUGACGUUCCGAGGUGGCUGACAGACAGAGCAGCGGCUGAUGUGGGUCAGGACUCGUUUCUGUGCAGCUCUGUGGUUCUGGCAUCCUCUGUUGAUUCGCCGCCACUCAGGGGGCGUCUCACUCCUGAUGACAUACAGUCGCUCUGAGAGUUGCGUCAUGCCUGGAUUAGUGUGUUUGUGUGUGCAAAUGAAUCCUCUAUGAGGGCUAAUCAUUCUUCUGUUUGUUGUUUUGCUGCCGGGAAGAAGCCCUUCAGUUUGGAAAAGCGUUUGAGGGAACAGAAAGGCAGCAGAGCGACUUCCUGUGCAGCCGUUUGCAGCUGGACUCUCAUGACUAAUAACAGGAGGGUAUAAACGCUCGCACUCGCAGAUGUCGCGUCCUGCCACGGCCCUCAUCAUGCUGGAUGAACGAAGAACAAAAAGUGAAAUAUUGUCUCUGAAACUUCAUGACAGGUUUAUACCCAAAACAAAGUCAACAAAAGAGGACAAAAACAGAACAGAAAGACUACGGGACGUGAACGAACCAGAAAAGUCACGAGUUCUUCCUGUUUGUGGUCAGAGGAGAAGUCAGACGAACGUUUGUGGCGGUCUCGUCAAAGAGCGGAAAUGUUUUUUCUUCAUUCUUCCUGACUAAACCGGCCCGUCAUGAAUGAUCCCUCAGCGCGCUGACGCUGUGAUCCUCCAGAAUCCAGAAGAUGUAAACAAAAGGAGAAAGAUGUUCAUCUUUUUGCUUCCUUUCCUGCUUCACUUUCAGCUUCUGCCUGAUGUUUUUCAAAAGUAUCGUGCAAAGAAAAGGAAGUAGAAGAAACUGCAAGACACUGGAUACAAAUAUUACUAUAGGCUGUGAAUGGAAGACAAACUGUUGAGAUGUUGACUAAAAAAAUACAAGUAUGCUAUAUGCUUUAAAAAUUAGAGUAUACUUAAACUAAAAAAUGAAAAAA
Molecule: long non-coding RNA, 1014 nt
Organism: Oryzias melastigma (Indian medaka)
Lineage: Eukaryota; Metazoa; Chordata; Actinopteri; Beloniformes; Adrianichthyidae
Exons: 2
Source: RefSeq, a predicted model, not a curated record